GAGGGUAUAGCUCAGAGGUUAGAGCUCAUGCUUAGCAUGCAGGAUGUCCUGGGUUCAAUCCUCAGUACCUCCA
RNAcentral lists this transfer RNA (73 nucleotides) under Camelus bactrianus (Bactrian camel). It matches the Rfam family "tRNA". From Rfam's summary of the family: Transfer RNA (tRNA) molecules are approximately 80 nucleotides in length. The record is from Rfam by way of RNAcentral. RNAcentral also lists the same sequence under 3 other names. Lineage: Eukaryota; Metazoa; Chordata; Mammalia; Artiodactyla; Camelidae.